AACUUGAGUGCAGAAGAGGAGAGUGGAAUUCCACGUGUAGCGGUGAAAUGCGUAGAGAUGUGGAGGAACACCAGUGGCGAAGGCGACUCUCUGGUCUGUAACUGACGCUGAGGAGCGAAAGCGUGGGGAGCGAACAGGAUUAGAUACCCUGGUAGUCCACGCCGUAAACGAUGAGUGCUAAGUGUUAGGGGGUUUCCGCCCCUUAGUGCUGCAGCUAACGCAUUAAGCACUCCGCCUGGGGAGUACGGUCGCAAGACUGAAACUCAAAGGAAUUGACGGGGGCCCGCACAAGCGGUGGAGCAUGUGGUUUAAUUCGAAGCAACGCGAAGAACCUUACCAGGUCUUGACAUCCUCUGACAAUCCUAGAGAUAGGACGUCCCCUUCGGGGGCAGAGUGACAGGUGGUGCAUGGUUGUCGUCAGCUCGUGUCGUGAGAUGUUGGGUUAAGUCCCGCAACGAGCGCAACCCUUGAUCUUAGUUGCCAGCAUUCAGUUGGGCACUCUAAGGUGACUGCCGGUGACAAACCGGAGGAAGGUGGGGAUGACGUCAAAUCAUCAUGCCCCUUAUGACCUGGGCUACACACGUGCUACAAUGGACAGAACAAAGGGCAGCGAAACCGCGAGGUUAAGCCAAUC
This 634-nucleotide ribosomal RNA is filed under the name Bacillus velezensis. Its description in RNAcentral is "bacterial SSU rRNA". It matches the Rfam family "Bacterial small subunit ribosomal RNA", at positions 639 to 1273 of the family's 1533-position model. The record is from RNAcentral. Lineage: Bacteria; Bacillati; Bacillota; Bacilli; Caryophanales; Bacillaceae.